RNAcentral lists this transfer RNA (90 nucleotides) under Candidatus Portnoybacteria bacterium CG03_land_8_20_14_0_80_41_10. Its description in RNAcentral is "tRNA-Ser". It matches the Rfam family "tRNA". Rfam says of the family: Transfer RNA (tRNA) molecules are approximately 80 nucleotides in length. Their secondary structure includes four short double-helical elements and three loops (D, anti-codon, and T loops). Further hydrogen bonds mediate the characteristic L-shaped molecular structure. tRNAs have two regions of fundamental functional importance: the anti-codon, which is responsible for specific mRNA codon recognition, and the 3' end, to which the tRNAs corresponding amino acid is attached (by aminoacyl-tRNA synthetases). tRNAs cope with the degeneracy of the genetic code in two manners: having more than one tRNA (with a specific anti-codon) for a particular amino acid; and 'wobble' base-pairing, i.e. permitting non-standard base-pairing at the 3rd anti-codon position. Lineage: Bacteria; Candidatus Portnoyibacteriota. The record is from RNAcentral.
GGCGAGAUGCCGGAGUGGACGAACGGGGCUGUCUUGAAAACAGCUGUCGCUUUCAGGCGACCGGGGGUUCGAAUCCCUCUCUCGCCGCCA